This 28-nucleotide non-coding RNA is filed under the name Mus musculus (house mouse). The record is from RNAcentral. Lineage: Eukaryota; Metazoa; Chordata; Mammalia; Rodentia; Muridae.
UGGCUGCCAUACACAGUAACACUACUGC